CGCGGCCUACGGGGGGCAGCAGUAGGGGAUUUUCGUCAAUGGGCGCAAGCCUGAACGAGCAAUGCCGCGUGAACGAGGAAGGUCUUCGGAUCGUAAAGCUCUGUUGAAGGGGAAAAAGAGCGGAGAGAGGAAAUGGUCUCCGAUUGAUAUUACCCUUCGAGGAAGUCACGGCUAACUACGUGCCAGCAGCCGCGGUAAUACGUAGGUGGCGAGCGUUAUCCGGAAUGAUUGG
RNAcentral lists this ribosomal RNA (232 nucleotides) under uncultured bacterium. RNAcentral's name for it is "partial 16S ribosomal RNA". It matches the Rfam family "Bacterial small subunit ribosomal RNA", at positions 333 to 557 of the family's 1533-position model. The record is from RNAcentral.